Molecule: ribosomal RNA, 453 nt
Filed under: uncultured bacterium
Lineage: Bacteria
Description: bacterial SSU rRNA
Rfam family: Bacterial small subunit ribosomal RNA (bases 21-416)
Source: RNAcentral
UUUUUCAUUUCCCCAAGGCCAGGAGCAUGUGGUUUAAUUCGAAGCAACGCGAAGAACCUUACCAGGUCUUGACAUCCAGUGAAUCCCUUAGAGAUAAUGGAGUGCCCUUCGGGGAACAGUGAGACAGGUGGUGCAUGGUUGUCGUCAGCUCGUGUCGUGAGAUGUUGGGUUAAGUCCCGCAACGAGCGCAACCCUUGUGAAUAGUUGUUACGAAAGAGCACUCUAUUCAGACCGCCGCUGACAAAGCGGAGGAAGGUGGGGAUGACGUCAAAUCAUCAUGCCCCUUAUGACCUGGGCUACACACGUAUUACAAUGGUCGUCACCAGAGGGAAGCAAGGCCGGGAGGUGGAGCGAACCCCUAAACACGAUCUCAGAUUCGGAUUGCAGGCUGCAACUCGCCUGCAUGACUAGAGGAUCGCUGUUUCUCUCGUAUCCGCAUGCCACGGACUGCCG